GACCUAUGGUGAGGGCACCUUCUCAAUAAAUCCUUAUACCUCUCCCAUGCAUCAUAUAAAUUCUCUAAAUCCAUUUGUACAAAGGAAGAGAUAUCAUUCCUCAAUUU
This 107-nucleotide small nucleolar RNA is filed under the name Gossypium arboreum. RNAcentral describes it as "Plant small nucleolar RNA R71". It matches the Rfam family "Plant small nucleolar RNA R71". From Rfam's summary of the family: R71 is a member of the C/D box family of snoRNAs containing the C (UGAUGA) and D (CUGA) box motifs. Lineage: Eukaryota; Viridiplantae; Streptophyta; Magnoliopsida; Malvales; Malvaceae. The record is from Rfam by way of RNAcentral.